Long non-coding RNA from Lolium rigidum, 246 nucleotides. RefSeq lists it as uncharacterized. NCBI's taxonomy places the organism in Eukaryota, Viridiplantae, Streptophyta, Magnoliopsida, Poales, Poaceae. The transcript is spliced from 3 exons. The record is from RefSeq and is a predicted model, not a curated record.
UGUCGACGAGUCAAUCGGUCGUGCAGCAAGCUCUCCAUCGACGACCGGGGAGGCGCGGGAGGGCAGAUACCGACACGUUUCGGAGCAGCUAAAAGAAGGUGUUGGUGCCACCAUAAGAGACGGUCUUUUUGUUGGGAUGACGAGCACUGAAGAGUUUGUAUCUUCGAACUUACCAUGGAGCUUUUUCCAAUGAGGUGCUCCAUGGCGAUUCUUGGAGAUACGGAGGAGGAAGAAGAGCUAGAUUAG